UGCAAUCGAGCGGACAGAUGGGAGCUUGCUCCCUGAUGUUAGCGGCGGACGGGUGAGUAACACGUGGGUAACCUGCCUGUAAGACUGGGAUAACUCCGGGAAACCGGGGCUAAUACCGGAUGGUUGUUUGAACCGCAUGGUUCAGACAUAAAAGGUGGCUUCGGCUACCACUUACAGAUGGACCCGCGGCGCAUUAGCUAGUUGGUGAGGUAACGGCUCACCAAGGCGACGAUGCGUAGCCGACCUGAGAGGGUGAUCGGCCACACUGGGACUGAGACACGGCCCAGACUCCUACGGGAGGCAGCAGUAGGGAAUCUUCCGCAAUGGACGAAAGUCUGACGGAGCAACGCCGCGUGAGUGAUGAAGGUUUUCGGAUCGUAAAGCUCUGUUGUUAGGGAAGAACAAGUGCCGUUCAAAUAGGGCGGCACCUUGACGGUACCUAACCAGAAAGCCACGGCUAACUACGUGCCAGCAGCCGCGGUAAUACGUAGGUGGCAAGCGUUGUCCGGAAUUAUUGGGCGUAAAGGGCUCGCAGGCGGUUUCUUAAGUCUGAUGUGAAAGCCCCCGGCUCAACCGGGGAGGGUCAUUGGAAACUGGGGAACUUGAGUGCAGAAGAGGAGAGUGGAAUUCCACGUGUAGCGGUGAAAUGCGUAGAGAUGUGGAGGAACACCAGUGGCGAAGGCGACUCUCUGGUCUGUAACUGACGCUGAGGAGCGAAAGCGUGGGGAGCGAACAGGAUUAGAUACCCUGGUAGUCCACGCCGUAACGAUGAGUGCUAAGUGUUAGGGGGUUUCCG
Molecule: ribosomal RNA, 796 nt
Filed under: bacterium LGM8
Lineage: Bacteria
Description: bacterial SSU rRNA
Rfam family: Bacterial small subunit ribosomal RNA
Source: RNAcentral